RNAcentral lists this ribosomal RNA (468 nucleotides) under uncultured bacterium. RNAcentral's name for it is "partial 16S ribosomal RNA". It matches the Rfam family "Bacterial small subunit ribosomal RNA", at positions 28 to 507 of the family's 1533-position model. The record is from RNAcentral.
GACGAACGCUGGCGACGUGCUUAACACAUGCAAGUCGAACGGCAAGGCCCUGGUUAGGUGGGGUGCUCUAGUGGCGAACGGGUGAGUAACACGGGAGUAACCUGCCCUCGACUUUGGGAUACCGUCAUGGAACUGCGGCUAAUACCGGAUAGGCGCUCCUGCUGCAAGGUGGGGGUUGGAAAGUUUCGGCGGGUGGGGAUGGACUCGCGGCUUAUCAGCUUGUUGGUGGGGUAGUGGCUUACCAGGGCUUUGACGGGGACCCGGCCUCAGAGGGGUACCGGCACAAUGGCCAAAGAGAUACGGGCCAGAGCAGUAAGGGAGACAGGAGUGGGGAAGAUUGCACAAUGGGCGGAAGCCUGAUGCAGCAACGCCGCGUGCGGGAUGACGGCCUGCGGGUUGUAAACCGUUUUAGCCUGUGACGAAGCGCGAGUGACGGUAAUGGGUAAAGAAGCACCGGCUAACUACGUG